Oryza sativa Japonica Group (Japanese rice) is the source of this 4026-nucleotide long non-coding RNA. RefSeq lists it as uncharacterized. Lineage: Eukaryota; Viridiplantae; Streptophyta; Magnoliopsida; Poales; Poaceae. The record is from RefSeq and is a predicted model, not a curated record.
UUGACCGGUUUUAUAUAGUUAAGGGACCCUAUAUAUCUGGUUUUGCGGUUGGAGGACGAUUUUGUAUCCGGAUGACAAGUGGAGGGACCUUCGGUGUACUUUUUCCAAAAUUUUACUCCUUAGGUAUAUCUCUAGUUAUGGCCUAUGGGCCCCCACUUCAAUUGGGAAGGACCCCACUCCCCUGAUUUACGUUCUUUCUAUCGCGAGCGCGUGUGUGUUGAGGCGUAGAACGUUCGUUCCCCGUCUCUCGAUCCCCAAGUCCAACCGGUAAAUCUGCAAAUUAGGAACUACUCCAGGAAACGUAAGGCCACCGUCAUCGUGCCCCAUCUGUUGCGCUUCCCCGCCGCAGGCCACAGUUCGCCUUCUGCCACUUUCUUGAUCGCUCAUCAUCACCGGCGCCUCGACGGCGCACUCCAUCCCAAGAAGAGAAGCAGUACAUCAGGCCGGCUGUUCUCUGCCUCCCCUGGUACGUACUCAUACAUAUACAUAUACAUACAUACAUACAACAUACAUACAUACACAUAUAUAUAUAUAUAUAGGGAUAAUCAAAAUAGAACCACGGUUCACCUGCACCCAGAAUCAGAACCGUUCAACCGUUCCAAGAUGUGUGCUUCCAAAAUGUACCAUACUUUCACAAAUGGAGAGUUAAAAAAAUUAGGGUGGUACAAUGCAUGUAUAACACUCUGACAUGGAGCAUGUACUUCCUGAGAAAUGAGAGAGAUGGUAGGUGAGAAGAAGUUGACCACGUCGUGUAGUAUUUAUUCCUCCAUUUAAAUAUUCUUUCUUUUCUCUUUUCUUGGUAUCCAUGCGUGGAAUGUACCAUACAUGUCCAUUUCGAAAAAUACUACUCCCUCCAUUCUAAAAUAUAAAAUAUAAGACACAAAUCACUCUUAACUUAAAAGACAAAAAAUAAUUAUUAUCACUUCAUAGUUUAGAUUACCCUAAUAAAUAUAAUGCAUGUACCCAAUAAAAUUAGAGAUGUUGAUUGUGUAGAAUUUAAAUAAUAAGAUUUUAGUGGAAAAGAUAAUGACAUGAAUGCAUGCACGCACGCUUUAUAUUAUGAAACAACUUUAAAAAAUAGUUGUGCAUUAUAUUAUGGAAUGGAGGGAGUAUCAUUUUGCAACGUAUUUUUUUUUACAUCUAUUCUGAUAUUUUCAUUGUGCUACAUUUUUCGCAUCAACAAACUAUAUUGAACAUUAUUUUCUCCGUAGAUUAUUAAUAAAAUUAUAUUUUUGAAUGUAGCAUAAAUAUGUAAAAUAACAAUCAUGUGUUUUUAUUUAAUAUAUGCCUAGUGAUAUAUCAUUUUUACAAUGCCAUUUUUGGACGUCAAUUUUGCAACAUGAUAUUUAAUUGCCAACAAACUGUAGUAUACAUUAUUUUCUCUGUCGAUUAUAAUAAGAUUAUAUUUUAGAAUGUAGCAUAUAUAUGAAAAAAAAUAACAGUCAUGUGUUUUUUUAUUUCAAUAUAUGUCAAGUGAUAUAUCAUUUUUACAAUAUCAUUUUUGGACAUCAGUUUUGCGAAAUGACAUUUUUGAAAUUCCAUUUUUGUGCCAAUAUUGUUUUCGCAUGGCGAGUGAAGAAUCAUUUUGAUAUAUUAUAUCCCAAUAAAACCAAACUUAUUAGAUUAAAUUUUGGAAAUACAAAACAAGCUGUUUAGAUUAACUCAUUAAAAUCAACAUGCUUAAUAUCUAAUCACGUGGAGUAAUUUGAAUGCUGCCAAUGAAUCUAAUUAAAAAGAGUCAGUUAACCACUCUCUCCAUAGAUUACCUAGAGACAGAAAUGUGAAUACAGAUACGCUUUACGUGGAUAUAUUAUUUUCGAAGAAACAAGGAUACGUGGAUACGUCCAUAUAUAUAAAAAUAAAAAAUACACAUGAUUAAAUAAGUGCAAAGUUAGUGUAAAAGAAUAGAAAAUCAGCACAAAUUAGAGUAUCGACUGAAGUGGCAGGUUAGUUUGCUGAAGAAAAUCAGCACAACAGUGAACAACUGAAAGGUCAAAGCCGGAAUUUACUUCUUGUCAGAAAAAAAAAACUCAAAGGCCAAAGCUCUCUCCUCCAACGUCAUGAAUAUAUCCACUGACAUCAAUAGCCACACUAGCAAUUGGAGUGUUGAAUGCAGCAGUACUACUCAAUAUUUUAUGGUACCUGCUAUAUGUCAAGCCUAUGUAGGAACUCCACCUAGUAGGUACUUCUGAUGGUGAUUAGUGAACAUGAUGGAACACGAUUGCUCUAGAGCCAUGUGUACACGUGUCGACCAGGGGAUUGAGGUGCAUAUGAACCGCGGUUCAUAUUAUCCAACUCAUAUAUAUAUAUAUAUAUACUAGAAAAAAAUGCCCGUGCGUUGCAACGGGUAAAAAUAUUUUUGGAUGUCUACAUUUUACUCUUUGGUUUUGGACCAAAAGCUCGUUCUUUCGGCUCAUUCAUUCCUCUCUUUUUUUCAGCCCCAGCCUAGCCAGCUACCUCCCUCUGCUUGGUCGCCUCUCUUUUGACCCAACUCACAAGUCGAGCUGUGUAGGUCCAGCUCGCAUACCCGACUAUUGUCUUCAACCUCCGAAAGACAGUCUCAUAUAAGUACGCCAAAACCGAUUGUCCCCAUCAAAUCCGGUCGAUUGGUUGAGGGCUUUUGAUACACUCGAUCUCCUCUUUCCUUUGUAUCAAAAUUGGAGCGAAUCCGCAAAACUCGGAAAUAAAAACAGUGACUUUCGAAUGGAGAUAAAAUUUGGUGAACUAAAACAGAACUAAAAGGGAAAAUCAUAGGGAUAAUAAUAAGGGAAUAGUGGGAAAUUAAUUUUUUAAUCAAUUCGAGGAGAAAACAUAUGGGCUGGAAACAUAUGAAGAGAUAGAUCUGACUGUGUACUAAAAACUGCAAAAGAAAAAUAAAGAGGACAAAAAAGAAAAAAAGAAAAAUAGACGGACAGAACAAAACGGAAAAAACGGAAAAAAAAAAAAGAGAAGCGGACAGAUAGGAAGGAAAUCCGGAAAAAAAAAGAGAACAGCGAAAAAAAAAAGUCGGACGAAAAGAAAGGAAAACAGGAAAAAAGAGAAAAUAGCGAAAAAAAAAGAGACGGACGAAACUUUUUACCGGAAGCCUUACGUAUUUUUUAAUUAGGUAUAGAUAUAGAUAUAGAUAGGAAAAUGAUUCUAUGCUCCUGGGAGUACGUACUCCUGCUAUAUCCACCGUCGAUCCAAAGCAUCUCAAUGAGCCUGCACGAUUUUACUAUCGGAUCCCAUCGAACGAACCCGUUUCAAUUUUACGUGAAAAAUGAAUUCACAUAUAAUCCUUAAUUAUCCCAUACAACUCGGAUCUGGAACGAACAGCUUACAUAAAUCCGGCACCGCCACUACUGGCCUGCCAUUUGACAUUUCUUGGCGGUGGCAAGAUCGACUCCAGAUCGUCGUUUCUAGGCGGCGCGCAGCGCACCGGCUCGACGACGGUUGGUCCAAUUCAGUGUCCGACAGGGAGAAAGAGGCAUCAUCAUGUACAUCCGUUGCACCGAUGGGAGACUAAAACGAUGCUAUUAUCCCGUCCUAAACCAAAGCCAGAUCAGACGAGGCUUUGCUUGAUAUGAACGAAAUCGGCGGCGGCGGCACGGCGGCAGACUCACGGUGCAACCCAUCGUCCAUCCAACCGACGACACGAUCGUCCCCCAGCGACGUCAUUGGCAAGCAGGCGGUGGGCUUUCCGUGAUGGCGUCGGUCCAUAUCCAUCGGAAGGCUCGUGCGUAUGUCGUAUAGGCAGCGACCUCUCAUCAGCAGGUCACAACGUCAUCCACGGCAUUGAUGAGGCAAGAUUGAUGUGGCAGCUAGCCCGAUGCUGCACAAAACGAUGGUUGCCAACCGGCGUCAGAACAUGUUGACCCCAAUGACUCAAAUGCUUUCCUCAACCCUGCAACAAGCUAGCGUAGAGGGUCUGCGCCAUGGGAAAAAGCCCUUGUUUGGAAACUGUGAUUUAGUGGGGAAACUAUUCUAAUCCCUCGAGGGGAUGUUCCCUCGUUUACUCAAAAACCAUCUAAACAGUUAUGAAAAAUU